This is a long non-coding RNA of Neogale vison (American mink), 232 nucleotides long. RefSeq lists it as uncharacterized. The transcript is spliced from 2 exons. The record is from RefSeq and is a predicted model, not a curated record. Lineage: Eukaryota; Metazoa; Chordata; Mammalia; Carnivora; Mustelidae.
GAAUCACCAGCCUCCUGACUUGCCCAUGAAGACGUGAUAGAAACACAGUGGGUGCACUUAAUAUAUAAAAAUCUGCAUGAGAGGAGGGAAUUUGGGAGCUGUUUUAGAAAUCAUCCACAAUGAAAACCAAGAUGACAGCUAUGGGAAGAUCUUCUCGCACUUGGUAGCUGCUCAAAAACUUUCUUUUUUACAUUUACAUUUAAGGAAAAAAUAAAGUGGCAAGUCUUGCCUA